RNAcentral lists this ribosomal RNA (254 nucleotides) under uncultured bacterium. Its description in RNAcentral is "partial 16S ribosomal RNA". It matches the Rfam family "Bacterial small subunit ribosomal RNA", at positions 524 to 776 of the family's 1533-position model. The record is from RNAcentral.
CACGUAGGGCGCAAGCGUUGUCCGGAAUUAUUGGGCGUAAAGAGCUCGUAGGCGGUCUGUUGCGUCCGCUGUGAAAACUCGGGGCGUUAACCCCGAGCCUGCAGUGGAUACGGGCAGACUAGAGGUAGGUAGGGGAGAAUGGAAUUCCCGGUGUAGCGGUGAAAUGCGCAGAUAUCGGGAGGAACACCGGUGGCGAAGGCGGUUCUCUGGGCCUUACCUGACGCUGAGGAGCGAAAGCGUGGGGAGCGAACAGG